Molecule: ribosomal RNA, 1479 nt
Filed under: metagenome
Description: bacterial LSU rRNA
Rfam family: Bacterial large subunit ribosomal RNA
Source: RNAcentral
AUUCCGAUACCACUACCAUCGUUAUUAUCGAGGGUGUGACGGAGAAGGAUAGUGUGUGCUAGCGAUUGGAAAUGCCAGUCUAAGCGUUUAGGGAGUUACAGUAGGCAAAUCCGCUGUAACAAUUCUGAGGCGUGAUGGGGAAGGUCAUUAAGACCGAAGUACAUGAUUCCAUGCUUCCAAGAAAAGCAUCUAGAGAGAGAAGUAGUGCCCGUACCGCAAACCGACACAGGUAGAUGAGGAGAGAAUCCUAAGGCCGGCGGAAGAAUUGCAGUUAAGGAACUAGGCAAAUUGACCCCGUAAGUUCGCGAGAAGGGGUGCCUGUGAGAGCAGGCCGCAGAGAAUAGGCCCAAGCAACUGUUUAGCAAAAACACAGGUCUCUGCUAAAGCGUAAGCUGAUGUAUAGGGGCUGACGCCUGCCCGGUGCUGGAAGGUUAAGGGGAACACUUAGCGCAAGCGAAGGUGUGAACUUAAGCCCCAGUAAACGGCGGCCGUAGCUAUAACGGUCCUAAGGUAGCGAAAUUCCUUGUCAGGUAAGUUCUGACCCGCACGAAUGGCGUAAUGACUUGGGCACUGUCUCAACUGCAAAUCCGGCGAAGUUGUAGUGCGAGUGAAGAUGCUCGCUACCCGCGAUUGGACGGAAAGACCCCGUAGAGCUUUACUGUAGCUUAGCAUUGAAUUCCGGUAUUGUCUGUACAGGAUAGGUGGGAGACUGGGAAACUAGGGCGUCAGCCUUAGUGGAGUCAACCUUGGGAUACCACCCUGACAGUACUGGGGUUCUAACAGGACGCCAUGAAGCUGGUGACUGGACAUUGUUAGGUGGGCAGUUUGACUGGGGCGGUCGCCUCCUAAAAAGUAACGGAGGCGCCCAAAGGUUCCCUCAGAACGGUCGGAAAUCGUUCGUAGAGUGCAAAGGCAGAAGGGAGCCUGACUGCGAGACCCACAAGUCGAGCAGGGACGAAAGUCGGGCUUAGUGAUCCGGUGGUACCUCGUGGGAGGGCCAUCGCUCAACGGAUAAAAGCUACCUCGGGGAUAACAGGCUGAUCUCCCCCAAGAGUCCACAUCGACGGGGAGGUUUGGCACCUCGAUGUCGGCUCGUCGCAUCCUGGGGCUGUAGUAGGUCCCAAGGGUUGGGCUGUUCGCCCAUUAAAGCGGCACGCGAGCUGGGUUCAGAACGUCGUGAGACAGUUCGGUCCCUAUCCGUCGCGGGCGUAGGAAAUUUGAGAGGAGCUGUCCUUAGUACGAGAGGACCGGGAUGGACUGACCUCUGGUGCACCAGUUGUUCUGCCAAGAGCAUGGCUGGGUAGCUAAGUCGGGAAGGGAUAAACGCUGAAAGCAUCUAAGCGUGAAGCCCCCCUCAAGAUGAGAUUUCCCAUAGCAUAAGCUAGUAAGACCCCUUGAAGAACACAAGGUUGAUAGGUCAGAGGUGGAAGUGCGGUAACGUAUGUAGCUGACUGAUACUAAUAGGUCGAGGGCUUGACC